This 253-nucleotide ribosomal RNA is filed under the name uncultured bacterium. RNAcentral's name for it is "partial 16S ribosomal RNA". It matches the Rfam family "Bacterial small subunit ribosomal RNA", at positions 524 to 776 of the family's 1533-position model. The record is from RNAcentral.
UACGAAGGGGGCUAGCGUUGCUCGGAUUUACUGGGCGUAAAGGGCGUGUAGGCGGCUGCGUAAGUCAGAUGUGAAAGCCCCGGGCUUAACCUGGGAACCGCAUUUGAUACUGCGCGGCUUGAGUUUGGGAGAGGAUAGCGGAAUUGCAGGUGUAGAGGUGGAAUUCGUAGAUAUCUGCAGGAACACCGGUGGCGAAGGCGGCUAUCUGGAACAUAACUGACGCUGAGGCGCGAAAGCGUGGGGAGCAAACAGG